This 291-nucleotide ribosomal RNA is filed under the name Triticum aestivum (bread wheat). RNAcentral describes it as "partial small subunit ribosomal RNA". Lineage: Eukaryota; Viridiplantae; Streptophyta; Magnoliopsida; Poales; Poaceae. The record is from RNAcentral.
AUGGGGGCUUCAGUACCUUGCUCCUUCUUCUUCGACGACGAGCCGCUCGGCGAGCCCGGCAUGCCGGCGCUGGACGCGUGCGCGCUCUGUGCCAAGCCGCUGGCGCGCGACAGCGACAUCUUCAUGUACAGAGGGGACACGCCCUUCUGCAGCGAGGAGUGCCGCCACGAGCAGAUGCAGCUCGACGCUAUCUGCUCCAGGCAGGCCGCCCGGAGGCAGCUGCGGCUCUCGUCGGGAUCGGAGGCCCGGCGCUGGCAUCAAGACUCCGGUAAGGUGUCCGUCGCGAGCUAG